Solanum lycopersicum (tomato) is the source of this 1650-nucleotide RNA transcript. RefSeq lists it as uncharacterized. Lineage: Eukaryota; Viridiplantae; Streptophyta; Magnoliopsida; Solanales; Solanaceae. The record is from RefSeq and is a predicted model, not a curated record.
AUAAAUAAUAAGAGUGGAAUUACAGGAGGGAAAAGCACAAAGAGAGUCUUAUGUAAUGGCGAAAUAGCCACGUCAUCACUUGUUACCUUUCCCUUUCUUCAAUAAAAAGAAACUUCUUUUGAAUCAAAAUCCUUAUACAACUCUUCUUCUGCUUCUUUCAAUUCACUUAAAAACACUUUGAAUUGCAUCAGAAAGGAAGAAAAUUUGUUAAAAUUUACUCAAUUAGCUGGAUUAUAGGUUUAAGUGACUACCUUUCUGAAUUACUCUCAUUGAUGGUGCACGGAAGCUAGGGUGUACACUUCUACUGAAAAAGUGGUACAGAGCUUUAUUGCAAUAGUUUAAAGUUGGGGCCUCAAAAAUGUCGAGCGGAGAUGGACCUAAAGUCUCCUGUGAAGAAAUACAAAUGGUGCAAAAUCGGAUUGAGCACUGUCUUCGGCAAUACAUGAGUCGGAAAGAAGUCGUGAACACUCUCUUCAUCCAGGACAGCAUAGAGCCUACAUUUACUGAACUCGUUUGGCAGAAACUAGAAGAAGAAAAUCAGGAAUUUUUCCAAGCAUAUUACCUGAAGCUGAUGGUGAAAGAGCAAAUAAUAGAAUUCAACAGGUUGCUUUCGGAACAGGUGAAGAUGACGCAGCAAGUUCCAAGUGCAAUUGCUUCUCUACCUAUGUCUAAUGGGUGUAAUAUUAUGCCAAUGCAUCAAAAUUCAACUUGCGGUGCUGCCGAAAAUGUUGGAACUGCUGCAAAGCCUAAUGGCAUGCACGAACCUGUACAUGCUGAUAGACCCAAUGCAUUCAGUAACAGCAGCUCAUCUGUUCUCUCUUGCAUGCAAACAUCAAUUGAUAUUCCUUCUCAAAGCAGGAAAACUGAUGGUCCUCCUAAUAUGUUUUUGGGCCAGCCCUCUAACAUGGGGAUGAGACAAACAAUGGAUGGGAGGAUUAUUAAGACAGAACCUAUCUAUGGUGGCAAUUCUCCGUUUGCCUUUGGUCCUCAUGGCACUUACUUGGAGUCACGUUCUGCAAUGGGCGAUGCAUCUGUUUCAUCAUUUAGCAGUGUGGAGUCGAACACACAACCUCUUAAUGAACCUCUUCUGGAUGCUGACACUUCUUCGUUUGGAUUUCUAGGGGAGAUACCUCAAAAUUUUGGUUUCUCAGACUUGACUGCUGAUUUCACUAAUACUUCUGGUAUUAAAAUGAGCUGGUAUUGAUGCUAAUCAGGCAUACUUUAUAUUCGUUUUGACCAUGUUCAGAUAUAUUAGGGAGCUACUCUAGGACUCCCUUUUUAGCAACAGAUACUGGCAACUUGCUCGAUUCAAACGGAGGCAUUGAGAGGUUAACCAAUCCCUCAGAGAACUUGAGAUACACUAAUUUCAGUGGAGAUUGAUCGUGUAUAGAUUCGAUCAAAACACAUACACGACGAUAGCUUUUGUAUAUUGCUGGCUGCUCAAGUGGUUUUAGGAUAUUUGGAUUUUCUGGUAUUGUAGGUUUGAGGUUUUCAUCAUGAAGGAUAAUUCAAAACAUGAAAGAUUUCAAUAGAGAUCUUUACUUUGUACAAAGAGUUAAAUGUGAUUUAGAACAAUUGUUAUUUUAGCCACAUAUAGCAUACUGUCUGAUUUUUAGUGCAACUAUGAAACAGUAUUGAAGUUUUACAGCA